GAUGAACGCUGGCGGCGUGCCUAAUACAUGCAAGUCGAGCGAACGGACGAGAAGCUUGCUUUUCUGAUGUUAGCGGCGGACGGGUGAGUAACACGUGGAUAACCUACCUAUAAGACUGGGAUAACUUCGGGAAACCGGAGCUAAUACCGGAUAAUAUUUUGAACCGCAUGGUUCAAAAGUGAAAGACGGUCUUGCUGUCACUUAUAGAUGGAUCCCCGCUGCAUUAGCUAGUUGGUAAGGUAACGGCUUACCAAGGCAACGAUGCAUAGCCGACCUGAGAGGGUGAUCGGCCACACUGGAACUGAGACACCGUCAUGACUCCUACGGGAGGCAGCAGUAGGGAAUCUUCCGCAAUGGGCGAAAGCCUGACGGAGCAACGCCGCGUGAGUGAUGAAGGUCUUCGGAUCGUAAAACUCUGUUAUUAGGGAAGAACAUAUGUGUAAGUAACUGUGCACAUCUUGACGGUACCUAAUCAGAAAGCCACGGCUAACUACGUG
Molecule: ribosomal RNA, 497 nt
Filed under: uncultured bacterium
Lineage: Bacteria
Description: partial 16S ribosomal RNA
Rfam family: Bacterial small subunit ribosomal RNA
Source: RNAcentral